This 253-nucleotide ribosomal RNA is filed under the name uncultured bacterium. RNAcentral's name for it is "partial 16S ribosomal RNA". It matches the Rfam family "Bacterial small subunit ribosomal RNA", at positions 524 to 776 of the family's 1533-position model. The record is from RNAcentral.
UACAGAGGUCCCGAGCGUUGUUCGGAUUCACUGGGCGUAAAGCGUGCGCAGGCGGCGCGUUAAGACAGGUGUGAAAGCCCCGAGCUUAACUUGGGAAUUGCGCUUGUGACUGGCGUGCUGGAGUGUGGCAGAGGGAGGUGGAAUUCCACGUGUAGCAGUGAAAUGCGUAGAGAUGUGGAGGAACACCGAUGGCGAAGGCAGCCUCCUGGGCCAGCACUGACGCUCAUGCACGAAAGCGUGGGGAGCAAACAGG